AAUCUGGUGGCCUAGUGGUUAGAGCGUCCGGCUCGGAUGCGGGUAGUCGCGGGUUCGAUCCCCAGUCGAUUCA
Non-coding RNA from Potamilus streckersoni, 73 nucleotides. Lineage: Eukaryota; Metazoa; Mollusca; Bivalvia; Unionida; Unionidae. The record is from the annotation of a GenBank genome assembly.